UUGAAGGAUCUCUCUUCCUUCUAGCCUGCGAGAAUUUCAUUUUCAGUUUUUUUGCCAUUUUAGCUAAAGGAAUAUUACUUUUUAAUAAUUAAACAAAAACAAAAAUUUUGUAGCACUCGAAUGGCUUUUCAGUAUUUUGAAUGACAAGCUCAAGCCGGUUCAGAGCGAGUUUGCAACGAUCAUCGGCGGACGGCAAACUUGCAGACAGACCAGGGCCACAAAUCCUAAGAUUUCUACAGUUUUCCACUCUUAUCUCGAUUAGAAAUAUCAUCUAUGAAGAAAAGACUUCGAAAGGUUGUUACUGAAAAAUUGAAAACAAGUUUAAAAUCAUAUUUUGAGUCUUAUUUGGACGAACGAAACGCACUUAUCGAGUAAUAAACUUAAGCUUAAAAUUGUUUUUGUUUUUGCUACUGAAUUUGCAAAAAAUGAAAAUAUUUUGCUUCUUGAAAUCUAGAGAAAGUGAAUAGACAAGUUGUUGGUAACUAAAACAAUUAGAUAAUAACUUUUGCCAGGGUUUUACACGGAUUUUGUGAGUAAAUUGUUGAAAUAACGCAAGUGUUUUAAGGUAGUUUAUCGGGGCGUUGAAUUCAGGUUUCUCACCGUUGAAUUCCACUUGAAAUACCCUCUCAUCCGGUUGACGUGUUGACCAAUCAACGCACGACUUUAAAAWUGAGGUAUGAGAUUCUAACUGGACUCGUCGCUUUAGURUUACAAACGAAGUCCGUUUAGUGUAGGCUUUGUCGUUGGAGCAGCAGGAGAGAAGAACGGGAAAGUAACACUUUUUGUUUCUGCUCUGCAAAACAAACAAAAAAUUCAUUCAUUCAUUUUGACCUGUUGUCAGUGGUGUACGUUGCACGUGAAAAUUUGUGUGAAAACUAAAACUUUGCAUAAUAAUGUUUUGUUUUUAACAAUUGAUGUCAUUAAGAUACUGAAACAAGGAUGAUUCCCUAUUAAUAUUCAUAACCCACAUUACUGUUCGGUCGUGCAACUUUCAUUGUAUUUUCACUUGCAAUUCGAUAUUUCUUAUAGAGUUGGGCGUGACGCUCCACUAUCCGGAGUUCAUCAAAAUUUUCAACCAAAAUAUCACGAUAUCCUGUGCAAAAGGGGGUGUUUUAUCUAUAAAAACAAAGCGCGAUCGCCAUGUUUAGGAACAGCUUAGAAUUACAAUUAGACAGCACGAUGUCCUUCUACUGAAUACCGCUUUUCUAUCUCAGAUAUUUGACAGCUCUUUUUGACUUUUUAGGAACCAUCUUCACCAUSCGAAUGUAGGAUGAUAACUGUAAGUGACCAGUKGUUUCCAGUUUGAGAUAUUAAUAGUCGCAGAAGGCUACCCGCACAACUUCUCUCUGUCUAUAGCUACUUUCCUCGCUAAUACCCAACUUCUCCACCCACUUGUAUUGUCCCUUUGUUACUUUUUUGUGUUUUUUUUGGCUGGUUUGAUUUUAAUARCAGACAGUUGAAUGUACGACGAACGUUGGAAGAUUAAGUGAUGUCUCACUUUGAGUGAAGGCUCGGCUACCUUUCAAGUUGGAGCUGGGAACUGGAAAAUGGAGAAGGAUUUGUCGUCAUUUCUAUAUAUGGAUGAGCAUUAGGAUUCAAACUAGUGAUAUGCAAAUUAAUUAAUAAACUUAACAAAAGAAAUAUAAAAAUAAAGAAAUAAACCCCAMCGUUCACCAUUACAGUGUCCUUUUAGACGUCGAUGUAUUUCUAUGACGUCACGUUCAUGUUAUGUGACGUCAUAUUUUAAAGGCCCCUCCCCCUCACGCAUUGCUAAUGCAAUUAUUAUUUGUUUGUUUCAUUCUGAUUGGAUUUCGUUAAUGUUGUUUUUUUUAGGCAAUCGCGAGUUAUGACAUGGAAGAAGAACGUGAAGAAAAAAUAUUUUUACCGGUGGAAGAGAUUCUUGUACAAAUACCGGUAAGUUCGUUGUAAAUAUUGCUAAUCAAAUAUAGUCCAGCCGUCCUUGCAUCCAUCCAUCAAUUGACAGAGCAGUUCAACUAGAUCAAUGUCUYYCAAUUUUUCUCAAUAUACAGUAGAAAACCGCAUAUAAGAGCCUAAAAAUUAAGAACCUGUUAGGCUAAGAUUUGGAUCUUAUAGCCCACGUUCUUAAUUUUUAAAUCAUUUAAGUCGCAAUACAGCUUCAGAGCAAGAUUCCUAUUUGAAGAAAAACAAGAUGAAGAUGAAUGUAAAAAGGGUUAUAUCUUGUUUUAAAGCUAAGUUUUAUUUGCUUUAAUCUAGAAUUAAGAAUCUAUUUUAAGAACCUGAGUAGUUUAAAAUUGUGUUAACUACCAUUUAUACAAGAACCUGUUAUGGCGAUGAGAAUUGAAAAAUUUAGAUCAAGGAUCUAUCGCGUCCUUCUUCCAUAUAUGAGAUUCAAGACCCGAUACGAGAUUUAAGUCUAUAAAUUGUACUGUGUGUUUCGAAUAUUUGAACAUCUCACUUUUCUAAGCACUUUAAACGCUAUUAUUAGAGUUUUGAACCAUCUGACAUUCGUUUUAUGGUAAUAUUUGGGUACA
Exaiptasia diaphana is the source of this 2513-nucleotide long non-coding RNA. RefSeq lists it as uncharacterized. The record is from RefSeq and is a predicted model, not a curated record. The transcript has 3 exons. NCBI's taxonomy places the organism in Eukaryota, Metazoa, Cnidaria, Anthozoa, Actiniaria, Aiptasiidae.